GAAAAAGAUGGAAUCUACAAGAAAAUUUUCUCUAACAAUGGUAUUCUUAUUAGCUUUUUUAAUCAUAGCAUCAAGUCUAAAACCGACAGAUAUUCGUAUGGAAUCACAAGGUAGGAGAAUGGCUCAUGGGGUCGUCCCACCAAGUUGUAAAUCAGAUGGAGAUUGUAAGAACUAUAAAUGUCCACCUUCAUUACCAUUUCCAUAUUGUGAUCAUGACAAGUGUGGCUGUGGUAACUGAUCUACACCAACGUCAACCAAUAAAAUCUCUAGUCCAAGACCAUCAUUUACCAACUAGGUAAUGGAUUAUACGGAAAAAUCAUCUUGUUUGGAUGGUAAUAAUUUAUAAAAUAUGAACUUGAAGAGGUUAUCAAAUCUUAUAUUGUAUUAUAAUCUUACAAAAAUGAAAUAAAAAUGUUGGCUACUUUUAAUUUUAA
This is a long non-coding RNA of Medicago truncatula (barrel medic), 434 nucleotides long. RefSeq lists it as uncharacterized. The transcript is spliced from 2 exons. Lineage: Eukaryota; Viridiplantae; Streptophyta; Magnoliopsida; Fabales; Fabaceae. The record is from RefSeq and is a predicted model, not a curated record.